RNAcentral lists this ribosomal RNA (253 nucleotides) under uncultured Peptococcaceae bacterium. RNAcentral describes it as "partial 16S ribosomal RNA". It matches the Rfam family "Bacterial small subunit ribosomal RNA", at positions 524 to 776 of the family's 1533-position model. Lineage: Bacteria; Bacillati; Bacillota; Clostridia; Eubacteriales; Peptococcaceae. The record is from RNAcentral.
UACGUAGGGGGCGAGCGUUGUCCGGAAUCACUGGGCGUAAAGGGCGCGUAGGCGGUAAUAUAAGUCAGAUGUGAAAGGUGGGGGCUCAACCCCUAGAGUGCAACUGAUACUGUAUAACUUGAGUGUGAGAGAGGGAAGCGGAAUUCCUAGUGUAGCGGUGAAAUGCGUAGAUAUCAGGAGGAAUACCGUUAGCGAAGGCGGCAAUCUGGCUGGAAACUGACGCUGAGGUGCGAAAGCGUGGGUAGCAAACAGG